This 676-nucleotide ribosomal RNA is filed under the name uncultured bacterium. RNAcentral describes it as "bacterial SSU rRNA". It matches the Rfam family "Bacterial small subunit ribosomal RNA", at positions 153 to 845 of the family's 1533-position model. The record is from RNAcentral.
GAAACGACUGCUAAUACCGCAUAAGCCCACGACCCGGCAUCGGGUUGAGGGAAAAGGAGCAAUCCGCUUUGAGAUGGCCUCGCGUCCGAUUAGCUAGUUGGUGAGGUAACGGCCCACCAAGGCAACGAUCGGUAGCCGGACUGAGAGGUUGAACGGCCACAUUGGGACUGAGACACGGCCCAGACUCCUACGGGAGGCAGCAGUGGGGAAUAUUGCACAAUGGGGGAAACCCUGAUGCAGCGACGCCGCGUGGAGGAAGAAGGUCUUCGGAUUGUAAACUCCUGUUGUUGAGGAAGAUAAUGACGGUACUCAACAAGGAAGUGACGGCUAACUACGUGCCAGCAGCCGCGGUAAAACGUAGGUCACAAGCGUUGUCCGGAAUUACUGGGUGUAAAGGGAGCGCAGGCGGGAAGACAAGUUGGAAGCGAAAUCCAUGGGCUCAACCCAUGAACUGCUUUCAAAACUGUUUUUCUUGAGUAGUGCAGAGGUAGGCGGAAUUCCCGGUGUAGCGGUGGAAUGCGUAGAUAUCGGGAGGAACACCAGUGGCGAAGGCGGCCUACUGGGCACCAACUGACGCUGAGGCUCGAAAGUGUGGGUAGCAAACAGGAUUAGAUACCCUGGUAGUCCACACCGUAAACGAUGAUUACUAGGUGUUGGAGGAUUGACCCCUUCAGUG